AGAGUUUGAUCCUGGCUCAGGAUGAACGCUGGCGGCAGGCUUAAUACAUGCAAGUCGAACGGUAAGGCCGAGCGUAGCAAUACGUGAGGUACACGAGUGGCGCACGGGUGCGUAACGCGUAUGCAAUCUGCCCCCGACCGGGACAAAACAGCUGGAAACGGCUGCUAAUAUCCCAUGGUCAUGAGAGACGGCAUCGUUUUUCAUGUAAAGAUUCAUUGGUCGGGGAUGAGCAUGCGUAUUAUUAGGUAGUUGGUGGGGUAACGGCCCACCAAGCCGACGAUGAUUAGGGGUUCUGAGAGGAUUAACCCCCACACUGGAACUGAGACACGGUCCAGACUCCUACGGGAGGCAGCAGUAGGGAAUAUUGGGCAAUGGAGGCAACUCUGACCCAGCCAUGCCGCGUGAAGGAAGACGGCCCUAUGGGUUGUAAACUUCUUUUGCCGCAGAGUAAACCCGGUCACGUGUGGCCGGUUGAGAGUAUGCGGCGAAUAAGUAUCGGCUAACUCCGUGCCAGCAGCCGCGGUAAUACGGAGGAUGCAAGCGUUAUCCGGAUUUAUUGGGUUUAAAGGGUGCGUAGGCUGUGGGGAAAGUCAGGGGUGAAAGCCCGGCGCUUAACGCCGGAACUGCCUUUGAUACUUCUCUGCUGGAAUACGGAUGCCGUGGGAGGAAUGAGUAGUGUAGCGGUGAAAUGCAUAGAUAUUACUCAGAACACCGAUUGCGAAGGCAUCUCACGAAUCCGUCAUUGACGCUGAGGCACGAAAGCGUGGGGAUCAAACAGGAUUAGAUACCCUGGUAGUCCACGCAGUAAACGAUGAUAACUAACCGUCGGCGAUACACAGUCGGUGGUCAAGCGAAAGCGAUAAGUUAUCCACCUGGGGAGUACGUUCGCAAGAAUGAAACUCAAAGGAAUUGACGGGGGCCCGCACAAGCGGAGGAACAUGUGGUUUAAUUCGAUGAUACGCGAGGAACCUUACCCGGGCUCGAACGGCAAGUGAAGGAACAAGAGAUUGUGACGCCCUUCGGGGCACUUGUCGAGGUGCUGCAUGGUUGUCGUCAGCUCGUGUCGUGAGGUGUUGGCUUAAGUGCCAUAACGAGCGCAACCCUUGUCGCCAGUUACCAUCAAGUAAAGUUGGGGACUCUGGCGAGACUGCCACCGCAAGGUGUGAGGAAGGCGGGGAUGACGUCAAAUCAGCACGGCCCUUACGUCCGGGGCGACACACGUGUUACAAUGGCGACUACAGAGGGAAGCCACCUGGUGACAGGGAGCAGAUCUCGAAAAGUCGUCUCAGUUCGGAUUGGAGUCUGCAACUCGACUCCAUGAAGCUGGAUUCGCUAGUAAUCGCGCAUCAGCCAUGGCGCGGUGAAUACGUUCCCGGGCCUUGUACACACCGCCCGUCAAGCCAUGAAAGCCUGGGGCGCCUGAAGUCCGUGACCGCGAGGGUCGGCCUAGGGUGAAACAGGUGAUUGGGGCUAAGUCGUAACAAGGUAACC
RNAcentral lists this ribosomal RNA (1491 nucleotides) under uncultured rumen bacterium. RNAcentral's name for it is "bacterial SSU rRNA". It matches the Rfam family "Bacterial small subunit ribosomal RNA". The record is from RNAcentral.